This 643-nucleotide ribosomal RNA is filed under the name uncultured bacterium. Its description in RNAcentral is "bacterial SSU rRNA". It matches the Rfam family "Bacterial small subunit ribosomal RNA", at positions 162 to 823 of the family's 1533-position model. The record is from RNAcentral.
GCUAAUACCGCAUAAGCGCACAGCUUCGCAUGCAGCAGUGUGAAAAACUCUGGUGGUAUACGAUGGAUCCGCGUCUGAUUAGCUAGUUGGCGGGGUAAAGGCCCACCAAGGCGACNAUCAGUAGCCGGCCUGAGAGGGUGAACGGCCACAUUGGGACUGAGACACGGCCCAAACUCCUACGGGAGGCAGCAGUGGGGAAUAUUGGACAAUGGGGGAAACCCUGAUGCAGCGACGCCGCGUGAGUGAAGAAGUAUUUCGGUAUGUAAAGCUCUAUCAGCAGGGAAGAAAAUGACGGUACCUGACUAAGAAGCCCCGGCUAACUACGUGCCAGCAGCCGCGGUAAUACGUAGGGGGCAAGCGUUAUCCGGAUUUACUGGGUGUAAAGGGAGCGUAGACGGCAGCGCAAGUCUGGAGUGAAAUCCCAUGGCUUAACCAUGGAACUGCUUUGGAAACUGUGCAGCUAGAGUGCAGGAGAGGUAAGCGGAAUUCCUAGUGUAGCGGUGAAAUGCGUAGAUAUUAGGAGGAACACCAGUGGCGAAGGCGGCUUACUGGACUGUAACUGACGUUGAGGCUCGAAAGCGUGGGGAGCAAACAGGAUUAGAUACCCUGGUAGUCCACGCUGUAAACGAUGAUUACUAGGUGU